This 468-nucleotide ribosomal RNA is filed under the name uncultured bacterium. RNAcentral describes it as "partial 16S ribosomal RNA". It matches the Rfam family "Bacterial small subunit ribosomal RNA", at positions 28 to 507 of the family's 1533-position model. The record is from RNAcentral.
GACGAACGCUGGCGGCGUGCUUAACACAUGCAAGUCGAACGGAAAGGCCCGGAGCUUGUGGGUUUGUCGAGUGGCGAACGGGGGUGUAACACGUGAGUAACCUGUCCUUGAAUUUGGGAUAACUUCAGGAAACUGGGGCGCAUAUCGGAUAGGAUCUCCUGCUGCAUGGGGGGGGUUGGAAAGUUUCGGCGGUGGGGGAUGGACUCGCGGCUUAUCAGCUUGUUGGUGGGGUAGGUGCGUACAAGGGUUUUGACGGGUAGCCCGCCUGAGAGCGUGGCCGGGCACCUUGGGCCUGCGAUACGGCCCAGACUCCUACGGGCCGCAGCAGUCGGGAGUAUUGCACAGUGGGCGGGCGCCUGAUGCAGAAACGCCGCGUGCGGAAUGACGGCCUUCGGGUUGUAAACCGCUUUCGCCUGUGACGAAGCGUGAGUGACGGUAAUGAGUCAAGAAGCACCGGCUAACUACGUG